CUGGGAUCCCACCGGAGUCUGGGACGUGCAGGGAUUGGUCGGCCACAGGCAGGGAUUUCUUGGGGAUGCCCCCUGGACUGACAGGGUCCAUCCCACUCCAGAACAGAGUUGCCGAAUCCCCUGAAGCCAGAUCUCACAGGAUCUCUGAGCCACAUCUUGCAAGAACUCGGAAACCAUUCCUAGCCGCCAGAGCUACACGAGGUGGGGUAAUAGAAGCAUAGAAAGUUAAGCGACUUAUUCAAGGCCACAUCUUGUGCAGAAGAGCACAGACGAGGAAUAUGGAACAAAACAAGGUUCUUAAAUGCUUUUCUAAGAUGAUUUGGUUUUAUUAAAUAACGGCAAGUUAUGGAAGAGAGCAAUUCCAGUGAAAAAAUUAAGGAGGCACUGAAAAGGAAUGGAGAAGAACAAAUGAGGAGGCUCCAGCUGGAGACACUGCAAUAGUAAGGGAAACCAGCGAUGAAUAGCUAAACUAGGGGCAAAUUCGUGAAUCCUUAUACUGACAGAAUUGAUGGGGCUUCCCCAUUUGGGGGCCAGUGAGGAACAGAACAUGAAUUUCAAUCAUACUCUUUAAGAAGGUGUAAGGUGGCUUUUGGAAAAAAAUGUUCCCACAAAAUUUGCUUUAAAUUUGGAAACUUUUUAUGUAUAAAUGGUUAAGUUUUGGUUACCUAUAUUUCAGACUGUUUAAUUCCUGGCCAAUACUUGAGAACUGAUCCUGAUGUUAGUUUCUUCACAAUUUGCUCUCCAGCAGCUGUUAUGUGAGCCCCACCUUUUCUUUUCAUUUUCUGUUUUAUCCAGCUCUCUUACUUUGCCCAGUCCCUGCCUGUAAUUUAUCACUCUUUUAUCUGCUCCUAAACACCUACUCUUUUACUUUCUAAAAAUAUUUGAAGUAUUUAUUGUUUUGUCAAUUCUUUUAUCAUCACUUUAUAUCUUUCAGAUUCUUUCCUUCUUGUUUAUAAAUUAAUCUCUUUUUAUUCAAAUUUUCCCUUCAUAUAAUGCUUCUAAAUAUAUGAUUGUCCAUCUUCUUGUUCAUAUACAAAUACCUAAAUAAUCAAGUUGAUUUUGCAGAUUUCUGGUAUUAAGGAUGCUAUUUAUAUUAAUGUCAAUAACCCACAUUUAAAAGACUUACAAUAAUUCUGUUAAUUUAAAAUGAUUUCUAAAUCAAAAUAAAGAUGCAAAGGGGACUGAAAAGAAUAUUUUGAAACAUGAUUAAUUUUAAUAUGUUUACAGGGAAAGAGUAAAUUCAUCAGCAGGGAAAAAAAAAUACCAAAACUAAAAUUUUAUAUAUUUUUAGUCUCAAAGCACAAUAUAUUUUUCAUAGAAACUAAUAUAUAACCAUCAUAGGUACCACAAUAUGGCAACAUUUAUACACAAGGCCAUUUACCAUUAAGAAAAUCAGUAGCAAUGGUGAUGCAAUACAUUAGUUUAUCUUUGUUAAACUUUCUGCUAUUAUACUUCCUGGCCUGCAGGAGUAUUUGCCAGGAUACGAAAGAAAAUGUGUGACCUCAGUUUCAACAAUACAAAGUUCUGGCUGCCCACGCUUAACCCUAUAUUUACUAUAUGAUCACUACAAAUGUUUUCAUACCACUACUCUGACUUCAUUCCAUUUACUAUAAGGCCGUUCCCAAGGAAUCAAACAUUUUAACAGAUUCAUUUAGAUAUUAAGGAAUUAUUUUAUACAAAAUAAGAAGUGCAAUAUCAGGACUUAAUAUUCUAUAAGCCCCAACUUAACAGAAGA
Molecule: non-coding RNA, 1735 nt
Organism: Equus caballus (horse)
Lineage: Eukaryota; Metazoa; Chordata; Mammalia; Perissodactyla; Equidae
Source: RefSeq, a predicted model, not a curated record